This 831-nucleotide ribosomal RNA is filed under the name uncultured bacterium. RNAcentral's name for it is "bacterial SSU rRNA". It matches the Rfam family "Bacterial small subunit ribosomal RNA", at positions 59 to 871 of the family's 1533-position model. The record is from RNAcentral.
CAGUCGAACGCACAGCGAAAGGUGCUUGCACCUUUCAAGUGAGUGGCGAACGGGUGAGUAACACGUGGACAACCUGCCUCAAGGCUGGGGAUAACAUUUGGAAACAGAUGCUAAUACCGAAUGAAACUUAGUGUCGCAUGACACGAAGUUAAAAGGCGCUUUGGCGUCACCUAGAGAUGGAUCCGCGGUGCAUUAGUUAGUUGGUGGGGUAAAGGCCUACCAAGACAAUGAUGCAUAGCCGAGUUGAGAGACUGAUCGGCCACAUUGGGACUGAGACACGGCCCAAACUCCUACGGGAGGCUGCAGUAGGGAAUCUUCCACAAUGGGCGAAAGCCUGAUGGAGCAACGCCGCGUGUGUGAUGAAGGCUUUCGGGUCGUAAAGCACUGUUGUAUGGGAAGAACAGCUAGAAUAGGGAAUGAUUUUAGUUUGACGGUACCAUACCAGAAAGGGACGGCUAAAUACGUGCCAGCAGCCGCGGUAAUACGUAUGUCCCGAGCGUUAUCCGGAUUUAUUGGGCGUAAAGCGAGCGCAGACGGUUGAUUAAGUCUGAUGUGAAAGCCCGGAGCUCAACUCCGGAAUGGCAUUGGAAACUGGUUAACUUGAGUGCAGUAGAGGUAAGUGGAACUCCAUGUGUAGCGGUGGAAUGCGUAGAUAUAUGGAAGAACACCAGUGGCGAAGGCGGCUUACUGGACUGUAACUGACGUUGAGGCUCGAAAGUGUGGGUAGCAAACAGGAUUAGAUACCCUGGUAGUCCACACCGUAAACGAUGAACACUAGGUGUUAGGAGGUUUCCGCCUCUUAGUGCCGAAGCUAACGCAUUAAGUGUUCCG